RNAcentral lists this long non-coding RNA (1120 nucleotides) under Pogona vitticeps (central bearded dragon). Its description in RNAcentral is "lncRNA (ENSPVIG00000023590.1)". Lineage: Eukaryota; Metazoa; Chordata; Lepidosauria; Squamata; Agamidae. The record is from RNAcentral.
GUGCCUCGUCGGGCUCCCCUGGCUGUCAUGCCUUCUCCCACCACCCCCUUCCGGGCACUCCCACCCCCUGCUAUUCCGGGUCGUCCCCCCAACUCUGGCUUCCAUCUCCCAUUGUCUUUACCACCCCACUUCCAUCUCCUCACUUACCACGACAGCAACCCCUUUCUUUACCUCAGUCAGUGCUACCUCUCUUCCCACCAUCACGCCCCCCACCGUGGGUCGCACAGCACUCCCCGCUUAGUUUUUUUCUCCUAUUGUGUCCUGUGGCUCUCUUUAUCUCUUUGCUGUGUUAAUUUGGGGAUCCCAGCCUUACUCUGAAUUCCAAAAAUAAUGGAAUAAGGACAUACAGACACAAACUCUAUCCAUUUUUUUAACCUGAAAACUUGAAUGCUAGGAUUCUGUCAAUGAUAUAAUUGUUUGUUUCUCCUUUUGAUUGGAAUAGAUCUGUCUGUUUGCUAAGCAUUGUCUCUUUGCUAAACUGCAAGUAAAUCAACGUCGAAAGUUAAUAAUCCGCUAAACAGUUUACGUUUUGCUGUGGAACUGUGGCUGGAAAGAUUUUCCUUUACAGAGGAAGCAGGGAAACUGCUUCUACAGAUGGUUUUGACUACAACCCUCAUCAGCCCCAGACAGUAUGGCCAGGAAUAAGAGUUUAUGAGAGGUGUGAUUCAAAAUAUUUGGAGUGCCAAAGCUUGCCCACCUCUGCUGUACAAGAAUCAGGUGAUAGAGAGGUUUGAAACAAGAUCUGAGACUAUCUGCUCUUGAACUGGCUAUUAUUCCCCCUCUAAUUCUCAAUCUCAUGCAGGUAAUACUUGUAGUAGUUAGAUGUAUUUAAAAAAUCAAAGUAUUUAUCUCACCCUAUGCUUCUUUUUCAUUUUUCACUUGUACCCCAUAAUCUAGGAAUGGAUAAAUGUGGUCCUCCCUUGGUGUUUUAAGGGAACAAUUUCCAUAAUCAUCCUUAGCUACACUACCUAGGGCUGGUUAGGAUUGUAUGUCUCAGACAUCUGGAGGACUAAAUGUUGCAAUUAAUUUUUUUUUCUUAAGUCAUGGGUUUUGGAAACACUGGCUGUUCUUUUAUGUAUGAAUGCUGAAUUGAAGAUUAUUAUACUUGACAGCUCUCCAG